UCCUCUUUACAGAGGCAGUUCGUUCCGAGUCUCCGACAUUACUCGCUGGUAACAGAACGUGAGGGUUGCGCUCGUUGCGGGACUUAACCCAACAUUUCACAACACGAGCUGACGACAGCCAUGCACCACCUGUGCACUGGCCCCGAAGGGAGGGUGUGUUUCCACACCGGUCACGAACAUGUCAAGCCCAGGUAAGGUUCUUCGCGUUGCGUCGAAUUAAACCACAUGCUCCGCUGCUUGUGCGGGCCCCCGUCAAUUCCUUUGAGUUUUAGCCUUGCGGCCGUAGUUCCCAGGCGGAAUGCUUAACGCGUGAGCUUCGACACAGGGGGGGUCGAUACCCCCUAUAUCCAGCAUUCAUCGUUUAGGGCGUGGACUAC
RNAcentral lists this unclassified non-coding RNA (377 nucleotides) under uncultured bacterium. RNAcentral's name for it is "contains 16S-23S intergenic spacer region". The record is from RNAcentral.